This 484-nucleotide ribosomal RNA is filed under the name uncultured bacterium. RNAcentral describes it as "partial 16S ribosomal RNA". It matches the Rfam family "Bacterial small subunit ribosomal RNA", at positions 29 to 507 of the family's 1533-position model. The record is from RNAcentral.
AUUGAACGCUGGCGGCAUGCUUUACACAUGCAAGUCGAACGGCAGCGCGGGCUUCGGCCUGGCGGCGAGUGGCGAACGGGUGAGUAAUACAUCGGAACGUGCCCAGUAGUGGGGGAUAGCUCGGCGAAAGCCGGAUUAAUACCGCAUACGACCUGAGGGUGAAAGCGGGGGAUCUUCGGACCUCGCGCUAUUGGAGCGGCCGAUGGCGGAUUAGCUAGUUGGUGGGGUAAAGGCCUACCAAGGCGACGAUCUGUAGCUGGUCUGAGAGGACGACCAGCCACACUGGGACUGAGACACGGCCCAGACUCCUACGGGAGGCAGCAGUGGGGAAUUUUGGACAAUGGGCGAAAGCCUGAUCCAGCAAUGCCGCGUGUGUGAUGAAGGCCUUCGGGUUGUAAAGCACUUUUGGCGGGAACGAAAAGGACUGUACCAAUACCACGGUUCGAUGACGGUACCCGCAGAAUAAGCACCGGCUAACUACGUG